UAGCGGGAGGCUUAACACAUGCAAGUCGUGGGGCAGCAUAGGGUAGCAAUACUCUGAUGGCGACCGGCGCACGGGUGAGUAACGCGUAUGCAACCUACCCUGUACAGGGGGAUAGCCCGGAGAAAUUCGGAUUAAUACCCCAUAAAGAUAACCAGAGGCAUCUUUGGAUAUUUAAAGUUUCGGCGGUACGGGAUGGGCAUGCGUAACAUUAGCUAGUUGGCAGGGUAACGGCCUACCAAGGCGACGAUGUUUUAGGGGACCUGAGAGGGUGAUCCCCCACACUGGUACUGAGACACGGACCAGACUCCUACGGGAGGCAGCAGUGAGGAAUAUUGGUCAAUGGGCGCAAGCCUGAACCAGCCAUCCCGCGUGCCAGGAAGAAUGCGCUAUGCGUUGUAAACUGCUUUUCCAGGGGAAGAAAAUUUCGCACGAGUGCGGGACUGACGGUACCUUGGGAAUAAGCAUCGGCUAACUCCGUGCCAGCCGCCGC
Molecule: ribosomal RNA, 490 nt
Filed under: uncultured bacterium
Lineage: Bacteria
Description: bacterial SSU rRNA
Rfam family: Bacterial small subunit ribosomal RNA
Source: RNAcentral